CAGCCGCCACGGUAAUACGGAGGGUGCAAGCGUUAAUCGGAAUUACUGGGCGUAAAGCGCACGCAGGCGGUCUGACAAGUCAGAUGUGAAAUCCCCGGGCUUAACCUGGGAACUGCAUUUGAAACUGUCAGGCUGGAGUCUUGUAGAGGGGGGUGGAAUUCCAGGUGUAGCGGUGAAAUGCGUAGAGAUCUGGAGGAAUACCGGUGGCGAAGGCGGCCCCCUGGACAAAGACUGACGCUCAGGUGCGAAAGCGUGGGGAGCAAACAGGAUUAGAGACCCCUGUAGUCCCUGUCUCUUAUAC
This 301-nucleotide ribosomal RNA is filed under the name uncultured bacterium. RNAcentral describes it as "partial 16S ribosomal RNA". It matches the Rfam family "Bacterial small subunit ribosomal RNA", at positions 509 to 807 of the family's 1533-position model. The record is from RNAcentral.